This 1432-nucleotide long non-coding RNA is filed under the name Penaeus japonicus. RNAcentral describes it as "uncharacterized LOC122244979". The record is from RNAcentral. Lineage: Eukaryota; Metazoa; Arthropoda; Malacostraca; Decapoda; Penaeidae.
ACACACACACACACACACACACAAAUAUAUAUAUAUAUAUACAUAUUUAUUUAUAGUUAGAUUUAUAUUUGUAUUUAUGCAUGAAUGCAUGAAUUUGCACUUAAGCCAUUCAUGCUGGGGCUUUUAUUUGCCUAAUGUCGCUCUCACAUGCUCAAUGACAAGUGUAAGAUCUAUGUAGGCCUCUCAGAGCACUUUUCACUGGCUUGCUUCAAUGGGUUUUUGUAUUUGUUAACAUUAUUUUCAUAAGUGAAGAAAAAUGUGUCUAUACAAUAGAACUCCAUAAGUCUAUACAUACAUACUGACAUAGAACAUGUUUAGAGGGAGAGGGCAUGAUGUGAUAGGAUAUUAGCUUAUCCAGUGUGAAUGGGUUAGAAUAAAAGCCAAUACCUUAGCAAUCUUUACCAAGUAUCCUUCUACCCUUCAGAAGGAAGGAGUGAUGCUCCCAAAGUGAACAGCACCCACCAGGAAGAAGGAGAGGACUCAAAGGAAGGGUCUGUGGCAGAGACAUUUGAAGAUGCUGUUAGUGGGUCAGAGCCAGCAGACACAGCAGCAGGAGAAGGAGAGCAUUCAUCAGGAAACAGAGAGUGUCUUGAGGAUGGGACUGCAGUCAGAGGACCUGAGGGUAUAACGGAGUCUAGCACCACCUGAGGCCAGCAGAAAGAUGGUGGUGGUGGGGCUUCCUCCUCAUGGUUGUCGAAAGAUGUGCUCUGCUACACCCUGAGGGGAACAUGCAGGAAUCAUGUACCUCUGUAGCUGCCUUCUCUGCACAGCCUUUUUGGCUUCAGCAGAAGGAAGAUGGAGGCUGGAGUGCAAUUCCCUGGUUUGGUGGCCCAGUCCUCCAAACUCUCCAAUCAUAGUGGAGUUACAUUGUCAAUAUAUAUUGAAAUACAUAUAACGAGCGGGCUAGAUAGCUUUGGUUACAGACCUGAGCAUAGCAACACAAAUUAUAUUUAAUUUACUGUGUAUGAUAUUGUAAAUGAGAAAAUAAUUUUAAAAAUCAUAUAAUUAUUGACUCUUGAUAGAGACGUUAUUGGCAGUGUGCAUGUGCAACAAAUGAACCAGACUGGCUGGACUUGGCAGUUAUCAUGACCAAUCAGCAUCGUGUAAAUACAAUAUCGUGGCCGUGUGUCGUGACAUCUAAGCCCAGUGCACCCGAUGUUGGUACAGGGGUCUCCGUACAAUAUGUUUGGUACUGUGUAUGCCAGGCUAUAUUUCUCAGUUGGGAGCUCAUCAUUGACUGAUAUUGAUUUAAGUAGCAUGUGGAACAAAUUUAAAAGGUUGUAACAAAGAUCUGUAUAGCAAACAAAUUGGCUAUUUUUUUUAGGUCAACAAAUAUUUUGGUUGUAAUUUUACCACCCAUUUGAUGUUGUCAGAUUGUUAUAUCUCAAGUAUACCUCAAUCUGUGUAUCCUGAAAUAAACCUGGUUCUGUCA